This 299-nucleotide unclassified non-coding RNA is filed under the name plant metagenome. RNAcentral describes it as "partial contains 5.8S ribosomal RNA, internal transcribed spacer 2, and large subunit ribosomal RNA". The stretch from base 1 to 105 matches the Rfam family "5.8S ribosomal RNA", at positions 50 to 154 of the family's 154-position model. The record is from RNAcentral.
GAAAUGCGAUAAGUAAUGUGAAUUGCAGAAUUCAAUGAAUCAUCGAAUCUUUGAACGCACAUUGCGCCCCCUGGUAUUCCGGGGGGCAUGCCUGUUCGAGCGUCAUUUCACCACUCAAGCCUCGCUUGGUAUUGGGCGACGCGGUCCGCCGCGCGCCUCAAAUCGACCGGCUGGGUCUUCCGUCCCCUCAGCGUUGUGGAAACUAUUCGCUAAAGGGUGCCGCGGGAGGUCACGCCGCAAAACAACCCCAUUUCUAAGGUUGACCUCGGAUCAGGUAGGGAUACCCGCUGAACUUAAGC